GCGCCCGUGGUGUAGUGGUAACACAAAAGCCUUCCAAGCUUUGGUCACCGGUUCGAACCCGGUCGGGCGCU
This 71-nucleotide transfer RNA is filed under the name Gaiellaceae bacterium. RNAcentral's name for it is "tRNA-Gly". It matches the Rfam family "tRNA". From Rfam's summary of the family: Transfer RNA (tRNA) molecules are approximately 80 nucleotides in length. Lineage: Bacteria; Bacillati; Actinomycetota; Thermoleophilia; Gaiellales; Gaiellaceae. The record is from RNAcentral. RNAcentral also lists the same sequence under 1 other name.